Non-coding RNA from Macaca mulatta (Rhesus monkey), 1656 nucleotides. The record is from RefSeq and is a predicted model, not a curated record. NCBI's taxonomy places the organism in Eukaryota, Metazoa, Chordata, Mammalia, Primates, Cercopithecidae.
CCCCGCCCCCUGGCGCGCGGGCGUGCAGGACCCGCAGAGAUCUCUGCGUUUCGGAAGCUCUUGGUGUGGCUGCGAGCCGAGCCGAGAGGAGAAGCUGGGCUCGUGGGGUUGCUGCCGCCGUCACAGGAAAUAAGUAACCAUGGUGCUCAACAGUUUGGAUAAGAUGAUUCAUCUCCAGAAAAACACUGCCAACAUCAGGAAUAUUUGUGUUUUGGCUCACGUUGACCAUGGAAAAACUACUCUGACUGACUGUCUUAUAUCUAGCAAUGGAAUCAUCUGCAGCCGCCUAGCAGGCAAGGUACAACUGUAACCGCUAUGAUGAGGAUGAUGCAAAGGCAGCAACAGAUGCACAGGAGGCUUGAUGAUACCAUGAUUUUUUCUAUAACAACAAUGACGUCUUCAGUGGUGCACUCCUUCCAGACUUCCAUGAUGUUCUGUCGGGGUUCUCUUCGAUAGCAUUGACAGUCCUUUCCAGAGGCUUGAUCUUUACAUUUGUUUACAUUUCUCUCAACUGUGAAUGGUACCAUAUACAUUCUGUAAGAGUUUGUGUGCAUAAGUUUUGACAACUCUGUACUCUUUAUUAAUAGAUUUAUGUAUAUUUUAUGGUAGUAAAUGAUAACAGACUACAUAUGUUUUAUGCAUUCAUGACAACUCUUUUUCUUAAUGUUGGUUUGUCUGCAAGUGUUUUCAAAUUGUUGCAAACCUCCAAAAAAAUUUCAAUGUGUUUAUUGAAAAAAAUCCACAUGUAAGUGGACUCACAGUUUAAUCAAGCACUUAGAGUUCACAAGUUUCUCACUUGAUAAUCUUGUAUUUUUUAUUUCAAGUGUGGUAUAGUAGUAAGAAUAUUGAUAUUUAUCAGCCAUAGUUUUCCCUUUUGUAAAAUGGGAAUACUAAUAGACACUGUAAUUUGUUGAGUGCUUUUUGCCAGAUGCCUUACUUUUGUCUGUAUCUUCCAAAGCAGCCCUAAAGCAAAAUGGGCGUUGUUACCCUAUUUUGUGAGGAAAGACACUCAUACACUACUAACUUACUCAAAAGUUACACAUUGAGUGUCUAACAGGGCCAUGCUUGUCUGAUUCCAUAUGUUCAUUCUAUUAUGCUCUUGUCUGUUACAUAGGAAUAUUGUGAGGAUCAAAGAACAUGUGAAAACAAAGCCUAGUUACAAUAAUAAGCACACCAGUGCUAACUUGGGCAAAAGAUAAGGAUACAGAGCUGUCUAAGAGACUCCCAAAGGCAGGAUGAGAUUGGACUGGGAACUAGAAAACCAUUUUGGACCCCUAAAGUGGUAUUGUCUGCCAUCUGUACAUCAUUCUCUUACAGCUCUUACUGCUGCUUUUCCUGUCAGUUACCCCAUAGCUCCAGGUAUUACAUGUUAACAUGUUAACUGUUCCAGAUCCAUGUAGAGAGAACCAAUCAGAUUCAUGGGGCAUGAUCAUCAAUACAAACAUGGGUGUUGAGAGCUUACUCAAUCAGGAAGGAGAUCUUGGAGAUCAGAGUUAGCUGGCUUCACAUCAUGGAAAUUGUCGGACAAAACUGAAAUGCCCUGAAAUUUUAAUUUUUAAAAUAUAUGUAAUGAAUUGGUAUAUGAUAGAUAAUUGUGGCUAUUUAGUCUUUACCAAAUGCUUUGUUUCCAUCUUGUUCAUUUUUAUUUUUUAUUUU